This is a long non-coding RNA of Oncorhynchus kisutch (coho salmon), 1852 nucleotides long. Lineage: Eukaryota; Metazoa; Chordata; Actinopteri; Salmoniformes; Salmonidae. The record is from Ensembl.
GUAAACUGCAGCGUAUGUAAGAUGACUAUUAUGUGGUCUCUGGUGAGCUGAUCUCUUGACGGCAAAUGAGGAUGUCCGUAUUAAAAAGUUACACGUGUACUACAGAGAAAUCCACGAUGAUGAUUUCCUAUCUUCAUUUUGUAUGAUGGGGUAGAUCGAAGACACACGACCCCGCCUACCUUUACAAAAAGGCUCCAACACAAUUAUAGCAUGCAUGUUUGACGCUCAUAGAUCGGGUAGUACCUUGGGGCUCUGUCUAACAUGACGCAGGGCUAUAAUUACAGUUCAGGUUACUUUUCUUCACCAACCUGACUGAGGCAUGUGAGGCACUUCCUCUCCCCUCAGAGCAGAGGCGGGAGGUUCCUGUUCAUCAGGGCCACCACACCACGGCCCCUGGCCAAGGUCACCUGUCAUACCACCACUUCCGGGCUCAACCACACGGCCCUGGAGCUGUCUGCUGCAUGGGGGACAUGCUAUACCGUAGAAGCCAUGCUAUACCAAAUGUGGUAUGCAGUGCACUCCUCCCUCAUCACGGCUCUCUAGUGUUCCCUCUCCCAGUCAGAACAACCCAGGCGGGCUCUACUCAUCUUAUCAGAUGGAGCCAGGCAGGCAGGACAGGACGGGGCCAGUGUGGAUCCAGCUGCUCCCAGGAGCAGGGCGCAGUCCCACUUAAUAGGUCUUCCCGGCAUCCCAGGCCUCGCCCCACUGGCAUCCCAGUCACAGCCAGGCAGGCUACUCUGUGGGUGGCACGCCUUGGAAACAGGCGGCAGAGACAGAGGAGGUGGGUACGGAGGAGACUGGUAAGACAACCCAGUCCGCCUGGUGUUCCAGAGAACUUUGCCGUUAGACAAAUUGCUUCCCGAGGACCAGUAAAAAGCAAUGGCUCCGACAUGGAGUCCCAUGACGCAUCAUGCUGAAUCUGAUCAGAACAUAUUGAGAGUUCAAAUGACACUUGCUUGAAUAUGCAGCUUGAGCUACAUCGAAAAGUUGUCAACGUUGAGCGAGUUUCUGUUUUCAUAUUGGUGGUGCUACCUGCCUAGAAGGCCGGUCAGGGUCUUGGUGUUCUAAAUCAUCCUAAUUGAUGGGUGUCGGAUAUGUUAGUAUUAUCAUAGGUGCUCUGAGAUUUGUCUCCAAAUAAAUAAAGCUUUAAUUUAUAAGCAUGGACGUAUAUUCUCCUGCCUGCCUUGAGCGGAGUGUAAACAGCUUUUAAUGUUCCGUCUCUUCAUGUUCCCGCAUGUUCCCACCCUCCACCUCUUCCUCUCAACAUGAUCCAGCAGGUGAGGGGGGAUCUUCUACACCAGGUGACGCUAGGUAAGCGCGCAACCUUUUUUCAAAGAUGACACUGUAAAUGCAUGGACCGGUACAGUAGGUUUAAGCUGAUCUAGAAUCAGCAGUAAAGCCCGGGUGUACAUACUAUGCUCUAGGGAUCUGAUUGUGGAGGUGGCCUUGCAAUUUCAGGUCAUCAUGACUUCUCUCUAAAUAUUUAUAUAGGAAACCCCUUCAACUGCUAACUAUGGAUAUAAGUAGAAAAGCCUCAAUAGUAAAUUAUAAAGCAGUGAGAUAUGUGCCUCCUACACCAGGGGUGUAGACAGGCCAAACCAGCUGUUAGCUGUGGAGAGCUGUGAACCCAACCAUGGGGUGAUAAGGGUGGAGUGGUCUACAGGGAGGAGUGUGUGUAUGUGUGUGUAUCUUGGCUGUCCGUGGUUAACCCCUGGCAGAUCGAUAGGGCCUCUAUCUCUAUGACUUAUGGUGACAUGGUGCAGGGUGGGUGUGUCAGCACCGCUUAUGCUCACAUUCCAGGGUGCACGAAGCAAAACUGACGCAGGCGCAACCAAAUAUCGCUAGAACCGCA